UAUGUGUUUAGAAAGCCAGUCUAACCCUUUUACACCACUCUUUAAAGAGGUCAUCUACUUUGGGCCCCUCAAGUCCAUCUGCCCUAAUAGGGUCUCGUGCGGAGGCAUUCGUUUCAAUAUCAUCAUCCAUCCCAAUUCGGUUGCACUGGGAUGCUCAAUGAAUCUACAUAAGAAAAACAGCCACACAACUCAUAAAGUAGCUGAACAUGGCAUAACGUUAUAGUCUACACAGCGGGCUACAGGUUCAUCAUCCCAUGUUCUUACCUAUUUGCGCCAUUAUCUGACAAAGUGCGAUCUGUUUUAGGAAGGAACCGAGUACCUGACUGAAGACUAAAGAAAAGUUCUUCAUCGUCAAGAAAUUCUUGGACACAGUCCAGCCGUGUGUUGAUGGUUUCCAGGUCAAUGAGAGGUUCUAAGAUAUUUGAUCUGAGUCUUCGGCU
Molecule: long non-coding RNA, 440 nt
Organism: Hyla sarda
Lineage: Eukaryota; Metazoa; Chordata; Amphibia; Anura; Hylidae
Exons: 4
Source: RefSeq, a predicted model, not a curated record